RNAcentral lists this transfer RNA (71 nucleotides) under Alosa alosa (allis shad). RNAcentral's name for it is "tRNA-OTHER". It matches the Rfam family "tRNA". From Rfam's summary of the family: Transfer RNA (tRNA) molecules are approximately 80 nucleotides in length. Lineage: Eukaryota; Metazoa; Chordata; Actinopteri; Clupeiformes; Clupeidae. The record is from RNAcentral.
ACAGUGGUAGCCUAGUGGUUAAGGAGCUGGAAAAGCCAGAAAAGUUGCGGGUUCAAUUCCCGGCUGCAGUG